RNAcentral lists this ribosomal RNA (468 nucleotides) under uncultured bacterium. RNAcentral's name for it is "partial 16S ribosomal RNA". It matches the Rfam family "Bacterial small subunit ribosomal RNA", at positions 28 to 507 of the family's 1533-position model. The record is from RNAcentral.
GACGAACGCUGGCGGCGGGCUUAACACAUGCAAGUCGAACGGAAAGGCCCUGCUUUCGUGCGGUGCUCGAGUGGCGAACGGGUGAGUAACACGAGAGUAACCUGCCCUAGACUUUGGGAUAACUUCAGGUAACUGGGGCUAAUACCGGAUAGGAGCUCCUGCUGCAUGGUGGGGGUGGGAUAGUUUCGGCGGUUGGGGCUGGACUGGCGGCUUACCAGCUUGUUGGUGGGGUAGUGGCUUACCAAGGCUGUGACGGGUAGCCGGCCUGAGAGGGUGACCGGCCACAUUGGGACUGAGAUACGGCGCAGACUCGUACGGUAGGCAGCGGUGGGAAAUAUUGCACAAUGGGAGGGAGCCUGAGGCAGCAACGCCGCGGUCGGGAUGACGGCCUUCGGGUUGUGAACCGCAUCCGCCUGAGACGAAGCGUGAGUGACGGUAAUGGGUGAAGAAGCACCGGCUAACUACGUG